UUUUUUUUUUUUUUUUGUUUUUUGAGAAACAGAGUCUCACUAUGUUGCCCAGGCUAGAGCGCAGUGGCUGUUAACAGUCACAGUCAUAACACACUGCUGCAGCCUUGAAUUCCGGGGCUCAAGAGAUGAUGCUGCUUCUGCUUCCCCAGUAAUGGAUACGACAGCUGCUUUUGCCCAGUGUUGACACUGGAGCCAUAUAACAAACCUCUUUGAAAAUGACCAUCAUUUUUCUCACCUCUCAACAUUGGAAAGGGAGAUGGCUUUUCACACUGAAAUGGUUAGUUUUUAUUUGGUGUUUCAUCAUAGUACUUUAGGAAUUUAAAAACAUUUCAGAUUUUUUAUUAUGGAAAAUUUGAAGAUGUUCCAAAGUAGAAAGAGUGGAUGCUCUAGCUUCUAUAGCUGACAGCCACAGCCGGUUUUCCUUCGUCUACACCCCCACUCACUAUGUCUUUUUAUUUUUUUAUUUUUAUUUAUUAUUAUAUAUAUUUUUUGAGACAGAGUCUCGCUCUGU
Non-coding RNA from Chlorocebus sabaeus (green monkey), 511 nucleotides. The record is from RefSeq and is a predicted model, not a curated record. Lineage: Eukaryota; Metazoa; Chordata; Mammalia; Primates; Cercopithecidae.